Molecule: unclassified non-coding RNA, 684 nt
Filed under: uncultured Prochlorococcus sp.
Lineage: Bacteria; Bacillati; Cyanobacteriota; Cyanophyceae; Synechococcales; Prochlorococcaceae
Description: partial may contain 16S ribosomal RNA, 16S-23S ribosomal RNA intergenic spacer, and 23S ribosomal RNA
Rfam family: Bacterial small subunit ribosomal RNA (bases 1-95)
Source: RNAcentral
CCUUGUGGAGGAGGACGCCGAAGGUGGGGCUAAUGACUGGGGUGAAGUCGUAACAAGGUAGCCGUACCGGAAGGUGCGGCUGGAUCACCUCCUAACAGGGAGACAACAAAAUGUUAAAUAUUAAUUUUGUCACCUUAGGUCGAUCGGUAUCUCACAUUCUUAUAUAUAUUAAGGAUUUUAUUUCCUAAGUUUUUUCUAGGUCACACCCAUUAUUUUUCCUGGGCCAUUAGCUCAGGUGGUUAGAGCGCACCCCUGAUAAGGGUGAGGUCCCUGGUUCAAGUCCAGGAUGGCCCAUAUCUCUAUGUUGGGGGUAUAGCUCAGUUGGUAGAGCGCCUGCUUUGCAAGCAGGAUGUCAGCGGUUCGAGUCCGCUUACCUCCACUGAUUACCACCUCUUCCAUAAUUUUUAGAAGGGAAUUUUUUAGGUGUGAUCAAAUUCUGAACGAAUCUAGCUUCCUAAUCAAACAGAUUAAGAUGCUGGACUCAUUGAAUUAAUUUCAUUGUUUUCAGAGAACCUUGACAACUGCAUAGAUUAUUUUUAAAGACAAUAAGCAUCUUUAUUGAUGCAGAUUUAUUAUUUGUGCGAAUGCAUUAAUAACAAUUCUAUUAAGCUGAUGCUUCAAAUUUUGAAGUUAUUGGUCAAGCUACAAAGGGCUCACGGAGGAUACCUAGGCACACAGAGGCGA